RNAcentral lists this ribosomal RNA (511 nucleotides) under Vibrio sp. QAT_1_212. Its description in RNAcentral is "bacterial SSU rRNA". It matches the Rfam family "Bacterial small subunit ribosomal RNA", at positions 373 to 876 of the family's 1533-position model. Lineage: Bacteria; Pseudomonadati; Pseudomonadota; Gammaproteobacteria; Vibrionales; Vibrionaceae. The record is from RNAcentral. RNAcentral also lists the same sequence under 2 other names.
GGGCGCAAGCCUGAUGCAGCCAUGCCGCGUGUGUGAAGAAGGCCUUCGGGUUGUAAAGCACUUUCAGUCGUGAGGAAGGUAGUGUAGUUAAUAGCUGCAUUAUUUGACGUUAGCGACAGAAGAAGCACCGGCUAACUCCGUGCCAGCAGCCGCGGUAAUACGGAGGGUGCGAGCGUUAAUCGGAAUUACUGGGCGUAAAGCGCAUGCAGGUGGUUUGUUAAGUCAGAUGUGAAAGCCCGGGGCUCAACCUCGGAAUUGCAUUUGAAACUGGCAGACUAGAGUACUGUAGAGGGGGGUAGAAUUUCAGGUGUAGCGGUGAAAUGCGUAGAGAUCUGAAGGAAUACCGGUGGCGAAGGCGGCCCCCUGGACAGAUACUGACACUCAGAUGCGAAAGCGUGGGGAGCAAACAGGAUUAGAUACCCUGGUAGUCCACGCCGUAAACGAUGUCUACUUGGAGGUUGUGGCCUUGAGCCGUGGCUUUCGGAGCUAACGCGUUAAGUAGACCGCCUGG